AUUGAACGCUGGCGGCAGGCCUAACACAUGCAAGUCGAACGAGUGGCGGACGGGUGAGUAAUGUCUGGGAAACUGCGUGAGGGGGGGGGAUAACUACUGGAAACUGUAGCUAAUACCGCAUUCUCUCAUAUGUCCCCAGAUGGGAUUAGCUAGUUGGGGGGGUAACGGCUCACCAAGGCGACGAUCCCUAGCUGGUCUGAGAGGAGGAACAGCCACACUGGUACUGAGACACGGUCCAGACUCCUACGGGAGGCAGCAGUGGGGAAUAUUGCACAAUGGGCGCAAGCCUGAUGCAGCCAUGCCGCGUGUAUGAAGAAGGCCUUCGGGUUGUAAAGUACUUUCAGCGGGGAGGCGUUACCCGCAGAAGAAGCACCGGCUAACUCCGUGCCAGCCGCCGCGGUAAUAC
RNAcentral lists this ribosomal RNA (406 nucleotides) under uncultured bacterium. Its description in RNAcentral is "partial 16S ribosomal RNA". It matches the Rfam family "Bacterial small subunit ribosomal RNA", at positions 30 to 526 of the family's 1533-position model. The record is from RNAcentral.